GACGAACGCUGGCGGCGUGCUUAACACAUGCAAGUCGAACGGAAAGGCCCUGCUUGCCGGGUACUCGAGUGGCGAACGGGUGAGUAACACGUGGGUGAUCUGCCCUGCACUUCGGGAUAAGCCUGGUAAACUGGGUCUAAUACCGGCUAGGAGCCAUUUUUAGUGUGAUGGUUGGUAAGUUUUUUCGGUUUAGGAUGAGCUCGCGGCCUAUCAGCUUGUUGGUGGGGUAAUGGCCUACCAAGGCGGCGACGGGUAGCCGGCCUGUGAGGGUGGACGGCGACACUGGGACUGAGAGACGGCCGAGACACCUACGGGAGGCAGCAGGGGGGAAGAUUGCACAAGGGGCGCAAGGCGGAUGCAGAGAGGCCGCGGGGGGGAUGACGGUCUUCGGGUUGAAAAACCCAUUCGCUAGGGACGAAGCUUUUUGUGACGGUACCUAGAGAAGAAGCACCGGCUAACUACGUG
Molecule: ribosomal RNA, 465 nt
Filed under: uncultured bacterium
Lineage: Bacteria
Description: partial 16S ribosomal RNA
Rfam family: Bacterial small subunit ribosomal RNA
Source: RNAcentral